AAACAUAGAAAUAUUUCUUGACUGUUGAUUUUACAUGGUACAUAUUUAAAACAAACAAAUAAUUUUCCUAGGUUUCCCAAAUGUUAUCGGUGCAUUGGACUGCACCCAUGUGCGUAUUAAGUGUCCGUCUGGUCCACAUGAAGCGGACUUUGUGAAUAGGAAAUCAGUACACAGCAUCAAUGUACAGAUGAUUAGUGAUGCAGAUUGCAUCAUCACAAAUGUAGAGGCCAAAUGGCCAGGCUCUGUGCAUGACUCCAGAAUCUUUAGAGCCUCAUCUCUCUACCAGCAACUAGCAAGAGGAGAAUUCUCAGGAGUUUUGCUGGGAGACAAGGGAUACCCAUGCCUGCCUUACCUCUUGACUCCCCAUCAGGAGCCCCAGACAGAGGCACAGCACCACUACAACAUUGCCCAUGCACGCACAAGAGGUCGUAUAGAGAUGGCAUUUGGGCUGAUAAAGUCAAGGUUUCAGUGCCUGAAGCACCUCAGAUUGACUCCACCUAGGGCAUGUGACAUUGUAGUUGCUCGUGUAGUGCUCCAUAACAUUGCUCGUCUGAGGAGAGAGAGGCAACCAAGGAUUGUUGAAGAGGAAGACUGGGGCAAUGAAGCAGUAUUGGAAGAAAACGAAACAGGCAGACUUAUACGAGACACAUAUGCAAAUAAUUAUUUUGCUUAAUAUGGUCUAAACCAUGUGUAGCCUUUAAAAUUUUCCACUGGCCCCUCAACUUUCUCCUUAGUUGAACAAACACACAGAAGUCAAAGUAUUUAAUGUGAUUUGUCUUUAUUCAGAGUGAAUCUGCCUGUUAGGGGUGAAAACACACAAAUAAAUGUUGUGGAAA
This is a long non-coding RNA of Xyrauchen texanus (razorback sucker), 836 nucleotides long. RefSeq lists it as uncharacterized. NCBI's taxonomy places the organism in Eukaryota, Metazoa, Chordata, Actinopteri, Cypriniformes, Catostomidae. The transcript is spliced from 3 exons. The record is from RefSeq and is a predicted model, not a curated record.